AGCAACCCGUUUGGUUAUCUUUCUGUGCUGUGGAAGGUUUGUUCUUUCACUCUGCACUAUUUUGCAAUAAAUAUUGCUAUUGCUCACUUUGGGUUUAUAUUGCCUUUAUGAGCUGUAACACUCACCAUGAAGGUCUGCAGCUUUACUCUUGAAGCUUAGCGAGACCACUAACCCACCAGAAGGAAGAAACUCCGGACACGCCGCCUUUAAGAACUGUAAUACUCAGUGCGAGGGUUCACGGCUUCAUUCUUGAGGUUAGUAAGACCAAGAAUCCACAAAUUCCAGACACAACAUGAAAGACAACGAGGAGGGAGCAGCUAGAGGGGUGGAAAUGGGAUCACGUGACCUUGCGAGAAGCAGGGAGAGAGAACACUGCGUCUGCUCCCUUUUAGAACAG
This 397-nucleotide long non-coding RNA is filed under the name Homo sapiens (human). RNAcentral's name for it is "HSALNT0391643". The record is from RNAcentral. Lineage: Eukaryota; Metazoa; Chordata; Mammalia; Primates; Hominidae.